Molecule: long non-coding RNA, 219 nt
Filed under: Brassica napus (rape)
Lineage: Eukaryota; Viridiplantae; Streptophyta; Magnoliopsida; Brassicales; Brassicaceae
Description: long non-coding RNA (BNAP_LNC020713)
Source: RNAcentral
AAUUAAAUAAAUUUUAUUAUUAAAUUAAAUUUGGUUUACAGAUUAAUUUCGGUUUACAAAACUAAACCAGAAAUUAAAAAAUAAAAUCAGACCACUACAAUUUUCCUAACUCGGUUUACACUUAACCAGACCUAAAAAACCUAGACCUAAAGAAAAAACUCCUGCCACCUCCUCCAUAGCCUUGUCCCUCUUCCAGCAGCCAUGAACUUUGAUUCCUCC